RNAcentral lists this unclassified non-coding RNA (238 nucleotides) under Glomeraceae sp. RNAcentral's name for it is "partial contains 5.8S ribosomal RNA and internal transcribed spacer 2". The stretch from base 1 to 71 matches the Rfam family "5.8S ribosomal RNA", at positions 84 to 154 of the family's 154-position model. The record is from RNAcentral. Lineage: Eukaryota; Fungi; Glomeromycota; Glomeromycetes; Glomerales; Glomeraceae.
GUGAAUCAUCGAAUCUUUGAACGCAAAUUGCGCUUCCUGGCAUCCCGGGAAGUAUGCCUGUUUGAGGGUCAGUAUUAAUAAAAAAUCGGUUUAGUUACAAAUUGUGACGUUUCCGGAGUUUGGGCUAUCUUAACAUUUUUGGCUAAGAGGCUUAAAAUUGACCUUUUUUGCGCAUUUUUAAACGUACAUAAAUUUUUUUUAUCCUUCUAUUCUUAUGUCAAAAUUUUAUUUAAAUCCG